Molecule: microRNA precursor, 55 nt
Filed under: Erinaceus europaeus (western European hedgehog)
Lineage: Eukaryota; Metazoa; Chordata; Mammalia; Eulipotyphla; Erinaceidae
Description: miRNA (ENSEEUG00000023530.1)
Source: RNAcentral
CAAGGGAACGGGCUUGGCGGAAUCAGCGGGGAAGAAGACCCUGCUGGGCUCGACU